Long non-coding RNA from Polyodon spathula (Mississippi paddlefish), 480 nucleotides. RefSeq lists it as uncharacterized. Lineage: Eukaryota; Metazoa; Chordata; Actinopteri; Acipenseriformes; Polyodontidae. The transcript is spliced from 4 exons. The record is from RefSeq and is a predicted model, not a curated record.
AUCAUCUGAUAUGGCGGCUCUUCGAGGAGUUCGAUAAAUAUUGUAGGUUAACUAAACGUUUAAUCUGUUCUGUCUGCGGCGGUGGAGAAAUUGCAUACAGUAAACGUUCAAAUCGUGAUCAAGUUGGUAGAGUUUGUUAUAAUUUUACAGUUCAUUUCUGCUAAACCGCAAGCCUGACUUGACUGAAAGGAUGCUGGUGCUCAUCUAGCUAAUAGGCCCAAUGCUAUAUCCCAGCAGUGAAAGGACAGGACUUGUCAAGUCUUGAAAGACGGAGGCUGGAGAUAAUGCAAGAAGUUAAGGAGAGAGAAAACCCUACCGGCAGGAGGUCGUCACCAAUAGCCCACCUGUGAGAGAUAUCCUUGAGCGUUGGCCGGCUCUACGUUUGGAGUCGCAGGUGUAUGCCGAUUUCCAACGGUUCACAAACCAGAACUUGCUGAACAUCUUUUAUGAAGAGCUUGACCACCACACUCUUUAGGUCAC